RNAcentral lists this ribosomal RNA (1448 nucleotides) under Plum little leaf phytoplasma. Its description in RNAcentral is "16S ribosomal RNA". It matches the Rfam family "Bacterial small subunit ribosomal RNA". The record is from RNAcentral. Lineage: Bacteria; Bacillati; Mycoplasmatota; Mollicutes; Acholeplasmatales; Acholeplasmataceae.
UUUAGUGGCGAACGGGUGAGUAACGCGUAAGCAAUCUGCCCCUAAGACGAGGAUAACAGUUGGAAACGACUGCUAAGACUGGAUAGGAGACAAGAGGGCAUCUUCUUGUUUUUAAAAGACCUAGCAAUAGGUAUGCUUAGGGAGGAGCUUGCGUCACAUUAGUUAGUUGGUGGGGUAAAGGCCUACCAAGACUAUGAUGUGUAGCCGGGCUGAGAGGUUGAACGGCCACAUUGGGACUGAGACACGGCCCAAACUCCUACGGGAGGCAGCAGUAGGGAAUUUUCGGCAAUGGAGGAAACUCUGACCGAGCAACGCCGCGUGAACGAUGAAGUAUUUCGGUACGUAAAGUUCUUUUAUUAGGGAAGAAUAAAUGAUGGAAAAAUCAUUCUGACGGUACCUAAUGAAUAAGCCCCGGCUAACUAUGUGCCAGCAGCCGCGGUAAUACAUAGGGGGCAAGCGUUAUCCGGAAUUAUUGGGCGUAAAGGGUGCGUAGGCGGUUAAAUAAGUUUAUGGUCUAAGUGCAAUGCUCAACAUUGUGAUGCUAUAAAAACUGUUUAGCUAGAGUAAGAUAGAGGCAAGUGGAAUUCCAUGUGUAGUGGUAAAAUGCGUAAAUAUAUGGAGGAACACCAGUAGCGAAGGCGGCUUGCUGGGUCUUUACUGACGCUGAGGCACGAAAGCGUGGGGAGCAAACAGGAUUAGAUACCCUGGUAGUCCACGCCGUAAACGAUGAGUACUAAACGUUGGGUAAAACCAGUGUUGAAGUUAACACAUUAAGUACUCCGCCUGAGUAGUACGUACGCAAGUAUGAAACUUAAAGGAAUUGACGGGACUCCGCACAAGCGGUGGAUCAUGUUGUUUAAUUCGAAGGUACCCGAAAAACCUCACCAGGUCUUGACAUGCUUCUGCAAAGCUGUAGAAACACAGUGGAGGUUAUCAGUUGCACAGGUGGUGCAUGGUUGUCGUCAGCUCGUGUCGUGAGAUGUUGGGUUAAGUCCCGCAACGAGCGCAACCCUUAUUGUUAGUUACCAGCACGUAAUGGUGGGGACUUUAGCAAGACUGCCAGUGAUAAAUUGGAGGAAGGUGGGGACGACGUCAAAUCAUCAUGCCCCUUAUGACCUGGGCUACAAACGUGAUACAAUGGCUGUUACAAAGGGUAGCUGAAGCGCAAGUUUUUGGCGAAUCUCAAAAAAACAGUCUCAGUUCGGAUUGAAGUCUGCAACUCGACUUCAUGAAGUUGGAAUCGCUAGUAAUCGCGAAUCAGCAUGUCGCGGUGAAUACGUUCUCGGGGUUUGUACACACCGCCCGUCAAACCACGAAAGUUGGCAAUACCCAAAGCCGGUGGCCUAACUUCGCAAGAAGAGGGAACCGUCUAAGGUAGGGUCGAUGAUUGGGGUUAAGUCGUAACAAGGUAUCCCUACCGGAAGGUGGGGAUGGAUCACCUCCUUUCU